This 310-nucleotide unclassified non-coding RNA is filed under the name plant metagenome. Its description in RNAcentral is "partial contains 5.8S ribosomal RNA, internal transcribed spacer 2, and large subunit ribosomal RNA". The stretch from base 1 to 105 matches the Rfam family "5.8S ribosomal RNA", at positions 50 to 154 of the family's 154-position model. The record is from RNAcentral.
GAAACGCGAUAGUUAAUGUGAAUUGCAGAAUUCAGUGAAUCAUCGAAUCUUUGAACGCACAUUGCGCCCCUUGGUAUUCCAUGGGGCAUGCCUGUUCGAGCGUCAUUUGUACCCUCAAGCUCUGCUUGGUGUUGGGUGUUUGUCCCCGUCUCCGCGCGUGGACUCGCCCCAAAGUGAUUGGCAGCCGGCGUACUGGUCCCGGAGCGCAGCACAUGUUGCGCAAACGAGUGCCUUGGUACGGCGGCGUCCAUAAGCCCCUCUCUCACGCUCUUGACCUCGGAUCAGGUAGGGAUACCCGCUGAACUUAAGC